This 253-nucleotide ribosomal RNA is filed under the name uncultured bacterium. Its description in RNAcentral is "partial 16S ribosomal RNA". It matches the Rfam family "Bacterial small subunit ribosomal RNA", at positions 524 to 776 of the family's 1533-position model. The record is from RNAcentral.
UACGUAGGGUGCGAGCGUUAAUCGGAAUUACUGGGCGUAAAGCGUGCGCAGGCGGUUUUGUAAGCCAGACGUGAAAUCCCCGGGCUUAACCUGGGAAUGGCGUUUGGGACUGCAAGGCUUGAGUGUGGCAGAGGGGACUAGAAUUCCUGGUGUAGCAGUGAAAUGCGUAGAUAUCAGGAGGAAUACCGAUGGCGAAGGCAGGUCCCUGGGUUAACACUGACGCUCAUGCACGAAAGCGUGGGGAGCAAACAGG